RNAcentral lists this ribosomal RNA (236 nucleotides) under uncultured bacterium. Its description in RNAcentral is "partial 16S ribosomal RNA". It matches the Rfam family "Bacterial small subunit ribosomal RNA", at positions 96 to 334 of the family's 1533-position model. The record is from RNAcentral.
CGGCGGACGGGUGAGUAACGCGUGGGUAACCUGCCUCAUACAGGGGAGUAACAGUUAGAAAUGACUGCUAAUACCGCAUAAGCACACAGUACCGCAUGGUACAGUGUGAAAAACUCCGGUGGUAUGAGAUGGACCCGCGUCUGAUUAGCUGGUUGGCGGGUAACGCCCACCAAGGCGACGAUCAGUAGCCGACCUGAGAGGGUGACCGGCCACAUUGGGACUGAGACACGGCCCAA